CCUCGCGAAUGCCAUUUACAGUUUGAAUGAUGACCCGCAUGUAAACAACGAAUAUGUAGACAAUCCUGACGAAGAGCUUGAUUUCAUUGACUAUCCGGAGCAAUUUCCUACAGAUAACAAUUGGAUACAAGAGUAUGUUGUGAAUUCGAGUGAGUUCGAUGUUAGACGUACCAAUUCCGAUCUACCUAGCAUUGACGGCACUUGGCUCCGUGAAAUCUUUAAAGAUAAGGCAUCUUUAGUGGAUGCUCUAGAUCGAUGGCACAUUAC
Molecule: long non-coding RNA, 267 nt
Filed under: Ananas comosus (pineapple)
Lineage: Eukaryota; Viridiplantae; Streptophyta; Magnoliopsida; Poales; Bromeliaceae
Description: long non-coding RNA (ACOM_LNC010197)
Source: RNAcentral